RNAcentral lists this unclassified non-coding RNA (36 nucleotides) under Drepanolejeunea spinistipula. Its description in RNAcentral is "trnL-trnF intergenic spacer". The record is from RNAcentral. Lineage: Eukaryota; Viridiplantae; Streptophyta; Jungermanniopsida; Porellales; Lejeuneaceae.
UUAUUAAAAUUUUAUUCUAAUUUUAUAAAUUAAAAU